CAGGCCUAACACAUGCAAGUCGAGCGGACUUAUCCUUCGGGAUAGGUUAGCGGCGGACGGGUGAGUAACACGUAGGCAACCUGCCUGUAAGAUCGGGAUAACUACCGGAAACGGUAGCUAAGACCGGAUAGCUGGUUUCUCCGCAUGGAGGGAUCAUGAAACAUGGGGCAACCUGUGGCUUACGGAUGGGCCUGCGGCGCAUUAGCUAGUUGGUGGGGUAAUGGCCCACCAAGGCGACGAUGCGUAGCCGACCUGAGAGGGUGAUCGGCCACACUGGGACUGAGACACGGCCCAGACUCCUACGGGAGGCAGCAGUAGGGAAUCUUCCGCAAUGGGCGCAAGCCUGACGGAGCAACGCCGCGUGAGUGAUGAAGGUUUUCGGAUCGUAAAGCUCUGUUGCCAAGGAAGAACGCCUCGGAGAGUAACUGCUCUGAGGGUGACGGUACUUGAGAAGAAAGCCCCGGCUAACUACGUGCCAGCAGCCGCGGUAAUACGUAGGGGGCAAGCGUUGUCCGGAAUUAUUGGGCGUAAAGCGCGCGCAGGCGGUCUUUUAAGUUUGGUGUUUAAGCCCGGGGCUCAACCCCGGUUCGCACUGAAAACUGGGAGACUUGAGUGCAGGAGAGGAAAGCGGAAUUCCACGUGUAGCGGUGAAAUGCGUAGAGAUGUGGAGGAACACCAGUGGCGAAGGCGGCUUUCUGGACUGUAACUGACGCUGAGGCGCGAAAGCGUGGGGAGCAAACAGGAUUAGAU
Molecule: ribosomal RNA, 750 nt
Filed under: uncultured bacterium
Lineage: Bacteria
Description: bacterial SSU rRNA
Rfam family: Bacterial small subunit ribosomal RNA
Source: RNAcentral